This is a long non-coding RNA of Daphnia pulicaria, 705 nucleotides long. RefSeq lists it as uncharacterized. The transcript has 4 exons. The record is from RefSeq and is a predicted model, not a curated record. NCBI's taxonomy places the organism in Eukaryota, Metazoa, Arthropoda, Branchiopoda, Diplostraca, Daphniidae.
UUUCCCGUAAUUCUUACAAGGUAGCUCGGUGACUUAGACGAAGGCCAACGCUUGCAACGCGAGCCCUAGUAAAUGUUGUGCACGACAUUCUAAGCAUAUGAAGAUAGUCGAUGAGAUAAAGAAUGAAAUGCUUCCAUAAUAACUAGUUUCAUGAUCCUAGACAUGUGAUGACCCACACAAUACGUGCUUAAGUGAAUCAUGAAUAAUAUCACAUCAAUGUGAUUUAGUCUCCCCAAUUUCUUCUCUGCUCUGGCUUGGUCUGGGGCUUCCCCCGAAAUACAACAUAAACUUUGUUUAAUGUUGAAAUGAAGUUACUGUGUCUUCGAUACAAGAAAAUGAGUGGGCCAAAUGUAUCCCUUGGGUGAUAUGGAUCACUGAUGAAGAUGGUAAGGAGAGUUCCAAAAUUAGUUGGAUGGAGUUUGUCUUCCUCAAGGUUCCAUCAGAAUAAUUUUGCAUCAAGAAUCUCAGAAUAUUGCUGCAUCAAGAAUCGUACGGCAUCGAGCAGAGCCAGAAAAUUAUGGCGCCUUGUGUCCGGUCAACCGUCGAGUAUCUAUUAAGCCCACACAAUGUGUUGUCCUGUUGGGUGAAUGAUGUAGAAGACGUUUCCUCUGCAGCAGCCCCAACGAGAACGAGAAAAAUGAACUAUGGAAACCAUGAGUCCCGAAAUUCCGUUUGUUGUCACCGAACAAUGUAACCCGUUAGUAG